RNAcentral lists this ribosomal RNA (614 nucleotides) under uncultured bacterium. Its description in RNAcentral is "bacterial SSU rRNA". It matches the Rfam family "Bacterial small subunit ribosomal RNA", at positions 34 to 680 of the family's 1533-position model. The record is from RNAcentral.
CGCUGGCGGUGUGCCUAACACAUGCAAGUCGCACGAGAAAGGGGAGCAAUCCCUGAGUACAGUGGCGCACGGGUGAGUAACACGUGACUAAUCUACCCUCGAGUGGGGAAUAACUGAGAGAAAUCUUAGCUAAUACCGCAUAACACUUACGAGUCAAAGCAGCAAUGCGCUUGGGGAGGAGGUCGCGGCCGAUUAGCUAGUUGGCGGGGUAAAGGCCCACCAAGGCGAUGAUCGGUAUCCGGCCUGAGAGGGCGCACGGACACACUGGAACUGAAACACGGUCCAGACUCCUACGGGAGGCAGCAGUGGGGAAUUUUGCGCAAUGGGGGAAACCCUGACGCAGCAACGCCGCGUGGAGGAUGAAGUAUCUUGGUACGUAAACUCCUUUCGAUGGGGAAGAUAAUGACGGUACCCAUAGAAGAAGCCCCUGCUAACUUCGUGCCAGCAGCCGCGGUAAUACGAGGGGGGCAAGCGUUGUUCGGAUUUAUUGGGCGUAAAGGGUGCGUAGGCGGUUUGGCAAGUCUUAUGUGAAAUCUUCGGGCUCAACCCGAAGCCUGCAUAAGAAACUGCCGGGCUUGAGUAUUGGAGAGGUGAGUGGAAUUUCCGGUGUAGCG